This 468-nucleotide ribosomal RNA is filed under the name uncultured bacterium. RNAcentral's name for it is "partial 16S ribosomal RNA". It matches the Rfam family "Bacterial small subunit ribosomal RNA", at positions 28 to 507 of the family's 1533-position model. The record is from RNAcentral.
GACGAACGCUGGCGGCGUGCUUAACACAUGCAAGUCGAACGGAAAGGCCCUGCUUUUGUGGGGUGCUCGAGUGGCGAACGGGUGAGUAACACGUGAGUAACCUGCCCUUGACUUUGGGAUAACUUCAGGAAACUGGGGCUAAUACCGGAUAGGAGCUCCUGCUGCAUGGUGGGGGUUGGAAAGUUUCGGCGGUUGGGGAUGGACUCGCGGCUUAUCAGCUUGUUGGUGGGGUAGUGGCUUACCAAGGCUUUGACGGGUAGCCGGCCUGAGAGGGUGACCGGCCACAUUGGGACUGAGAUACGGCCCAGAGUCCUACGGGAGGCAGCAGUGGGGAAUAUUGCACAAUGGGCGGAAGCAUGAUGCAGCAACGCCGCGUGCGGGAUGACGGCCUUCGGGUUGUAAACCGCUUUCGCCUGUGACGAAGCGUGAGUGACGGUAAUGGGUAAAGAAGCACCGGCUAACUACGUG